AACGAACGCUGGCGGCAGGCCUAACACAUGCAAGUCGAGCGGACCUUUCGGGGUCAGCGGCGGACGGGUGAUUAACGCGUGGGAAUAUGCCCUUCUCUACGGAAUAGUCCUGGGAAACUGGGGGUAAUACCGUAUACGCCCUUUGGGGGAAAGAUUUAUCGGGGAAGGAUUAGCCCGCGUUGGAUUAGGUAGUUGGUGGGGUAAUGGCCUACCAAGCCGACGAUCCAUAGCUGGUUUGAGAGGAUGAUCAGCCACACUGGGACUGAGACACGGCCCAGACUCCUACGGGAGGCAGCAGUGGGGAAUCUUAGACAAUGGGGGCAACCCUGAUCUAGCCAUGCCGCGUGAGUGAUGAAGGCCUUAGGGUUGUAAAGCUCUUUCAGCUGGGAAGAUAAUGACGGUACCAGCAGAAGAAGCCCCGGCUAACUCCGUG
Molecule: ribosomal RNA, 433 nt
Filed under: uncultured bacterium
Lineage: Bacteria
Description: partial 16S ribosomal RNA
Rfam family: Bacterial small subunit ribosomal RNA
Source: RNAcentral